RNAcentral lists this ribosomal RNA (464 nucleotides) under uncultured bacterium. Its description in RNAcentral is "bacterial SSU rRNA". It matches the Rfam family "Bacterial small subunit ribosomal RNA", at positions 331 to 793 of the family's 1533-position model. The record is from RNAcentral.
CCAGACUCCUACGGGAGGCAGCAGUGAGGAAUAUUGGUCAAUGGCCGAGAGGCUGAACCAGCCAAGUCGCGUGAGGGAUGACGGCCCUACGGGUUGUAAACCUCUUUUGCCGGGGAGCAAAGAGCGGGACGCGUCCCGCCUCGAGAGUACCCGGAGAAAAAGCAUCGGCUAACUCCGUGCCAGCAGCCGCGGUAAUACGGAGGAUGCGAGCGUUAUCCGGAUUUAUUGGGUUUAAAGGGUGCGUAGGCGGGCUUUUAAGUCAGCGGUAAAAUUGCGGGGCUCAACCUCGUCGAGCCGUUGAAACUGGGUGCCUUGAGUGGGCGAGAAGUACGCGGAAUGCGUGGUGUAGCGGUGAAAUGCAUAGAUAUCACGCAGAACUCCGAUUGCGAAGGCAGCAUACCGGCGCUCAACUGACGCUGAGGCACGAAAGCGUGGGGAUCGAACAGGAUUAGAUACCCUCGUAC